CAGUUGGAAACGACUGCUAAUACCCCAUACUCCUUCUUAUCAUAAGGUAAGUUGGGAAAGAUUUAUUGCUAAAGGAUGGGGCUUUAUGGUAUCAGCUAGUUGGUGGGGUAAUGGCCUACCAAGGCGAUGACGCCUACCUGGUCUGAGAGGAUGAUCAGGCACACUGGAACUGAGACACGGUCCAGACUCCUACGGGAGGCAGCAGUGGGGAAUAUUGCACAAUGGGGGAAACCCUGAUGCAGCAACGCCGCGUGGAGGAUGACGCAUUUCGGUGUGUAAACUCCUUUUAUAAGGGAAGAUAAUGACGGUACCUUAUGAAUAAGCACCGGCUAACUCCGUGCCA
RNAcentral lists this ribosomal RNA (343 nucleotides) under uncultured bacterium. Its description in RNAcentral is "bacterial SSU rRNA". It matches the Rfam family "Bacterial small subunit ribosomal RNA", at positions 147 to 510 of the family's 1533-position model. The record is from RNAcentral.